ACAAAUGCUUAAUUGCAUCCACCUUUUGUGCACCGUAAUUUUUUCCACUUAAAAUUUUGUCUGAUUAAUCUUCGUUCCGAAAAGAACGUAAAUUGUAAUCAAAUA
Molecule: unclassified non-coding RNA, 105 nt
Filed under: uncultured fungus
Lineage: Eukaryota; Fungi
Description: sequence contains ITS1
Source: RNAcentral